UACGUAGGGUGCGAGCGUUAAUCGGAAUUACUGGGCGUAAAGCGUGCGUAGACGGUUAUGUAAGUUAGGUGUGAAAGCCCCGGGCUCAACCUGGGAAUUGCAUUUAAGACUGCAUAGCUAGGGUGCGGAAGAGGAAAGCGGAAUUUCCGGUGUAGCGGUGAAAUGCGUAGAUAUCGGAAGGAACAUCAGUGGCGAAAGUGGCUUCCUGGUCCAGCACCGACGUUCAGGCACGAAAGCGUGGGGAGCAAACAGG
RNAcentral lists this ribosomal RNA (253 nucleotides) under uncultured bacterium. RNAcentral describes it as "partial 16S ribosomal RNA". It matches the Rfam family "Bacterial small subunit ribosomal RNA", at positions 524 to 776 of the family's 1533-position model. The record is from RNAcentral.